Oryza sativa Japonica Group (Japanese rice) is the source of this 1314-nucleotide non-coding RNA. NCBI's taxonomy places the organism in Eukaryota, Viridiplantae, Streptophyta, Magnoliopsida, Poales, Poaceae. The record is from RefSeq and is a predicted model, not a curated record.
UUUUACUGAACUUCUUUUUUCUUCUUCAUCUUACCAUUUGUACGAUACUCCUCAUACAUCCCUUGUUUUUUCAGCACAAGGCAUUAUAUAUUUGCUUUGAUGUUUUAGGCACUCAAAAUGCGAGAUUGGUCUGAAUGAGAGGAUAAAGGGAAACAAUGGGGAAACGCCGUUUACCGCCAUUGCGGAGCAAGAAGAAUAGCCAGCAAAAACGCAGGAUGCCACCAUUGUACACCGCCGCUGCACGGCCUCCUCAAGAAGGCUGGAGCAUCAGAGAGCGUGUCAAUUUCAGGAUCGCAAUUGGAAGAUUUGGUCAGGACUGGCCUAGAGUUGCACAGUUUAUCAGCACAAAAUCUACUGGUCAAAUCUGUGUCUAUGCCGAGGAAUAUUUCCUGAAGCGUCACACACAUAGCCCAGUGAAGAAUAAAAGGAUUCUGAUUAUCAGCUCAGGUUGUUGACAGGAGCAACACAUUUAAAGUAUUUCUACGCUGAAGCAACUGCAAUUGAAGAACUGAAUCAUCUGAAUUGUAAACUAUGGGGUUGUUCAGAUUAAUAACAUUUUAAACCAUACCAUUUUUUGGUAAAAUUGCUAAAUAAAGUUUUUUUUAUCAAACUUUAGUAAAUGCAUAAGGAAUCCUGCCAACUUGACAAUAUUGUCAAUUUACCAAAAUUUGGUAAGGUUUAUUUUGGCUACAAUCUGAACAGCCUCUAUAUCAGUCUCAAAUGACCUCAAGGUUCCACCACAUGAAUCAUUGAUGGUAUUAUUUCAGCUACAAAUAGUUACUCAAACUGCUAUCUGCACCUUGCAAGGGAAAUCUCCACUGGAAGUGUGGCCAAAUUUCACAAAAAAAUUCUACUCAUUGAAGAAAUAAAAGGACUGUUGAGGUUACAACAACAUAAACUAAUACAACAUUUCAACAAAACAUCAUGCAACAUUGUUUCACAUAUCCCAUUUCCACGCACCUAGUGCCCUACCACUACCUAACCUAGUCACAUCUGAUAUCACAUGUCAUUGGAUUACAGUAUAUACAUACGUGCACAUUGAUUGAACACAAAUGCACCAAGUGUUGAAACAUUAUACAGAAAGGUUGAUUUAUCAAUGAGAAGGAUUCCCCCUUCUCCAAAUGAAUAAUCAAUGAGAGAGCACGGUGUUAGAUACUGACCCUACAAGCCUAGACAAAAAAAUGCUCUACUCUUUCACCUACAUAUUAAUAAUUUUACAACAGCUGUGAAAAGAUGAUUAAGCCCAGAUCGGAAGAGAAACGUUAGCAGAUAUAGCCUGGCCACACCCAGUAUUCACUGAGGGGGUCUGAGCCU